RNAcentral lists this long non-coding RNA (13473 nucleotides) under Physcomitrium patens. Its description in RNAcentral is "long non-coding RNA (PPAT_LNC010364)". Lineage: Eukaryota; Viridiplantae; Streptophyta; Bryopsida; Funariales; Funariaceae. The record is from RNAcentral.
UGUGCAGCCUCUUCCACAGCCGCAGGUUCUGGUUCUUCAGGAUCGUGAACAGCACCUUCCGGAACAGGUUCGCCGGCCCGCACGACCACCUGUGCUGCUGGAACCGGAACGCCUUGAACGUGCUCGGCAGCUCGUUCUUCACCUCCAGGUCGUGAAUGUACACAAACUUCCACCCGCACAGACUGGCGCGCACCGCCAGGUCCAUGUCCUCCACCGUCGUGCGAUCGUUCCACCCUCCUGCUUCCUCCAUGGCGCGGAUUCUCCACACACCCGCGGUGCCGUUGAACCCGAAGAAACCGUACGUCGCGGACCCCACCCUCUGCUCCACCGAGAAGUGGUAGUUCAGAGACACCUCUUGCAUCUUCGUCAUCAAGCACUCAUUCGCGUUCACUGCGCACAACCACCAUCACACCACCAUCAAAAUCACCGCCACACCAUCAACUCAGCGCACCCGUCACCCCGCACAUUCGCUACCUAUCAACCGUCACAGACUGCGAAUCGGCCAUUUCGAAGUGGCUCGAUACACAUGGGUCGAGUCCAGCAACAAAGACGGGCACCCAAGAGUUGCAGCGAGAAGAAGAGCAAAGAAUUCGAAAUGAUCACGGUCGGACUCAUCGACCACUCAACAGCUGGAAUUGCGCGAAAUUCUAAUUAAUUGUGCAUGCUUUGUGAUUAACCAUAAUGUACCAGGAAAAAGGUAAAACAAAAAACCAUCACUAUUGAUUACUGCUACCUUAAACGCCAGAGACAAGGACCCCGAUUCUGACACAAGGCCAGUAUAUUCACAAGUACGUGCCAAUUGGGUUCCUAGGUCUCAAUUGCUUUGGAACUUAGGGCCCACCAUGGAAGAUGGUUAAGGUUUUCCCUACAGUGUGAAACAGCAUUCGGGAUUCUAGAAGUGAAAUUGCACCAACAACCAAACGAAAGGAUAUGUCUGACUGUACGUAUAUCAUGAAAGAUUAAGGCACAGAGCGAAAUACGCUUUCAAAUAGGUAACAGUUGCAAAAGAGAUCCAGGAAGAAACAUCCUUCAACUAUCUAGAAAGAUUUCAGACAAGGCAGCACAACUGUGAAGGAUACGUUAACAGUACCGAGCACUACAGACUUCCGCAAUGUCAGAAGAGGUCAAAAAUUCCAUUCAGACUACCUUCAUAACACACACCAAUGAUGUUUCUGAACACCAAUGCCAGGCCAAAUUACUACCCAAGGAGAAGAAAUGAAAACAUCCAGAUAACACCGAGCAAAAUCAAAGACUUCGGGAUGCUAUCCAAACAAAUCAUAACAUCGAAGCAAGAAUGCCUGCAUGUAGGCAAACUUACCAAAUUUCCAUCGAGCUUGUACAAGUGCCAGAUUCGAAUUGUGCACCAGAAACGGCACUGUGCGCUGCAAAAACUCCGGCUCCGGCUGGAAGUCCGCGUCGAAGAUCGCCACGUAGUCGCAAGUCUGCACAUACGGAUGCCUCAUCCCCUGACGUAAUGCCCCCGCCUUAUAUCCCUUCCGGUUCGGUCGUGUCUCGUACUUUAUGUUGAUCCCCUUGCUCGCCCACCGCUGCACUUCUACUUGCACCAGCUCCUGGACCACACACACACACAUACACUCAGAAAACCCUCCCGUGCCUUCACGCACUGCAAACAAUCCCUCCCCACUUUCACCUUCACCCACCCUCCUACCACCCCACCAAAUACACUCAGCUCUAGCACAAGUUCCUCUACCCUGGUAGUCUGAUCCGUCGAGUCGUCCAGCACUUGAAUGAUCAUCCGGUCCUGCGGCCACGACAGCCCGCACGCCGCCUGUAUCGACAGUUGGUACACCUGUCACGCACCACCAUCUCACCAUUGUCAGCUCCUCCUCCACCAUCACCACCACCACCCUCCCCAAAAGUCACAUCCCACACAGCAUCCUGCAUCCCGCAUUCCCUACCUCUCGCUCGUUGAACAUCGGGAUCUGCACCAGAACCAUCGGGUACGACGAAUUCCCGAACUCCAAAUCAUCCUGGAUCGCCUCGAACUUGAACUGCGUCUCCGGAGUCCGCCUCAACAGCUUCACGAAUACCAUCACCCCGCACAUGAAUAUCCGCUCGACGAACAGCAUCGUCACCAUCACCAGGCACACGUUGAUCGCGAAUUGCAGCACCGGAGCCACCACCGGCCCCCGAACCUCCAGCCAUAUCUUCACCAGCUGAUCCACCAACAUCGGCAAUCCCCCCGUGCUCCCGCUCUCCGCCAUCGCGACUCACACCGCUCGCUCUCGCCGCACCCACACCCCCACCCGCACCGUCCCCAAUCUCACCGCCUCGGCCUAGCUGCGACUCAUCACCAUCCGCGAUGCCAAUGCACGCCUGCCGAUGACCCUCAGCCUAGCUCAGCCCACUCGUCAUCUCCUCCGCUUCAUGUGACCAAUCCGCAUGUCCUGCGAAUCCCUCUACCUUCUCUUCUCACCCCGGACUGCCCACCCCACCUCAACCUCCACCGCCACCUCGCACACUCGCGCACUCGAGACCUCUCAGCACUUCGCACCGUGCAGCGCACACCUCGCAGCUGCCCGUCCCUCGCCCUCGACACGCUCGUCGACCACAAUGAGCGAUGCUCCACGGCACUGAUAGACGAGGUAAUAAGCAGCGCCCAGGGGUCAAUGCGUGGUGGGGCCGGGCCUCAUAUAAUUAUACGCUUGUAUCAUUCAUGCAAGCCUUGCAAAGCAGCAGCGAGGGUGGGGACGAUCGAUGGACGGAGCGGCGACGGGCACGACCCGGACCCACUCAUAAUGCGGCAUGCCUGGCUCGGCCUGGCCUGCUGCUGCUGCUGCUGUGGUGGUGCUGCAUUAUUUGGAGGCGCUUCCGACUUCCCAGGGAACCAAAGCCAAAGCCAAAGCGAGCGACGAUGGGACAAGGGGGGGGAUUGCGUGGGCGCCGCGGUCAAACGCGCUUCAGCGCUGCUAACUGCCCAGGUUUACGACCUCUCUCGGCCUCCCUCCCUCUUGUUCCAAUCAUUCAUGCCUGCCCCCCGUUCUGCCCGUCCACCGGGGCGCUGCACACCGGCCGUCGCGGUCUGCCCGGGAUUGGAGCAUGGACAGGUCGUGUCUGUGGGUGCUGAGGCGAGGGAGGGCUUUGGUUGAAGCAACUGGAAACGAUGCUGCCUCCCAUGGUGGUGGGGCCCGCCACGUCCACGCUGGGCCUUCCUUCGUGUCUCCACUUUGAUAUUCUGCGGAGGUGCUGCUGCUGCUGCGAGUCUCACGGGCUGUUGGUUCCAGUUCCAGUUCCAGUUCCAAUUCCAGUUCCGUGGUGUGCCUCUGUGUCAAGACGCGGGGUCGGUGUUGGGUGCAGCCAGUCCCGUUGGACGAGCACUGCCCUGGUUCCGUCAAACUGUGAAGUGGGCUUUGACAACCAAGCGGGUGAGACUCGGUCUGCUUCAGGACCAUUGGAACAGCACACGACCCUGCGAGUGGAUUUUGAGCAUGGUGCACGAGUCCUGGGGAUUGCACACUUGUGGUGCUUUUCAAGAGUAUCUAUGGGCUGGACUGCUGUAUGUCUGGGAUGUUUUGAGAUUUUGUCCCACACAGUGGACCAGACAAAUUAGAAAUCUAGUCCCUUCAGGAUUGAACAUACAAUUUUGUUGAGUGAAGGACACCUCCAAUGAUUAUAACCUGGUUAAUGUGUUUGUUUUUUGGAUUUAUUGAUCCAGGGUGAUUUGUUACACUCACAAGGGUCUUGCUUGCCCCUCCCCCCGAAGCACAUCAUAAUUCAUCAUCAAUCCCACAUCUUGUUGCCAAAUGUUGUGCCAUACAAGUAUCCAGGUCACAUAAUCUUUUUCCUUUUGUGUUCUCACAUUGUGGCUUUUCAGUCACAAAGCAACUUUUUAACUUGCCACCAAUGAUAGACUUGCAUUUCUUUCAAGAUGAUUCUUAUUUCUUGUCUUACCGGACUUGUCGUGAAAGCUUUUCCUAGGAACCCAAUCAACUUUUCUGGACAUAGCACUCAGACUCUGUAGAGUAUGGAUUACGUCUUGGGAUUAGGCCACCAACAGAGACCCAGAAUCACUUUUACUUAUUUGGUAGUGUUUCAGACCUGGAUGUGUAAAUCAUUGUGGAUUUACAGGGUUGUGAGACUGAACAAUGAGGGGUUGGCUGCUGCAUUUCAAAACCUGUACCUACUUUGCAACGCCACAAGGUAUGUCAAUUUUAAUUAACAAGAAGUCCAAGUUCUGAUUUGUUCCUAGGAUUUGACAGUGAUACUGCUGCACACUGCUGGGCUAUGUGCUGCCACACUGACUCACCUGUCAUAUGGCAAGACUGAGCUCUAGUGCUUGAUGGUCCCCAUUGCUUGUUUCAUUUUCUUCACCUAGUGCAUGGGCAGCAUAUGGCAAGGAGUGUUUUUUCAGAGGAGCAAGAAUGGUACUAAAUUUUUAAAAAAUGAAUAAGUGAAUGGUGAUUGCAUUCCAGAGGGCACAUGUAGUAUGUUGAGAUUAAUUGGUAACAAAUGAGGUGGUCCAACAAAGCUUGUCUUACUAGCCAUUGUCUUUGUGUUUUUGCCACUGGAACACAUGGCAUUUGUUUCAUGUGUGAAUUUCAAUUUUCAGUUCCUUAGAUUGGGGAGGAUGAAAUUAAAUAUCUCAAUGCAGUGGUGCAAAUAAUGUUAUUUAUGGCUUGGUGCAUCUCAAUGGGACCGUAUAAUUGAGCCUAACUCUAGCAUGUGGUGUUGCUCAAGUAGAAGCCAUUGUCCAUUAAUCCAACAUAAUGGUCAAAGUUUGACAACUUUGAUACACUUGAUGUAACUUAGUGUAUCAAUUUUUAACAAAUUUCAUAUCAUCUAAUAUUGUAAUGUGUAUCUAUGUUAAGUAAAUAAAAGUAACUAGAAGUAUGUAGAAACAUAUUGGAAAUAUAACAUCUUUCUUAAGAAGUUUAGAUAAAAAAUUUUAAAUAAAAAUUAGAUAUUUAGAUGUUUAUAGAUGUUCUACAUUGCUUCUUUUUAAGAAUUUUUAUAAGAAGCAAUGUACAACUUAAUGCAUAGAUUGUAAGUCUUAAAAUUAACAAAACCUUUGUAAUUAAUAAGGCUCUUAUUAAUUAAUUUUGAUAUGGCUUAAAAGAUAUUACCAAGGAUCUAUUAUUAAUAAUACCAAAAAUAUACAUAUAUUGAAAUAAUUUAUCACUAGUAUUUAUAAAUGUAAUUGAAAAACCACUAUCUAAAUAAAUUAAUACAUCUCAAUUCUAUUGAUUAAUAUUAAAGAAAAAAAAAGAAAAAUUUUGUUGUAAAAACUUUUGUUUGCAUUGUAGAGCCUUUGUAAAUAUAAAUAUACAAGGCUAUUGUAUCAAAUUAAUUAGAUAUAAAAAAAAUUGGAAGACAAAUAUCUAAUUAUAGUAGAGACUAUGUAAUAAAAUAAUUCUAAACUUUAAUCAUUAAAUACAAAUUUCAUAUUCUAUCUUAUUUUAAACUUCAUGUACUUAUUAAAACUUCAAAUUGUAAUUUUUUAGCUCAAGUGCUCUUAGACAUUGGUGUCUUUACAUGUCUUAUAGAUAAAGACUUUGAAUCAUGAUAAAAAUUGAUACUCCCAACAAAGAUAUGAUCAGCUCUAGUUGAGGUUAUUAAUAGACAAUCACUUGAAUUUGGAGAUGUUAAAAAAGAAUCUAAUCCAUUAAAAUUGUUGUUAGAAGUUUGUAUAUUCAACUUUAUUUUUAGCUGCAUUUAAUAUUUUUCAAAUAUAAUGGUAUUUGGCCUCCUUUGAUUUAUACAAUAUAUUCUUGAUAUUGAUUAGAAAUUACAAAAGAUCACUUCAAGAUUUAAUUCAAAUGCCAAAAAAAUACCACUAUUUCUUAUUGGUAUAGUUAACAACCAAGAGUUUCUAUUAAAAGAAGUCUUAAAUUUAAGAUAAUAAAAAAUAAAUUAUCCAAUUAUAAUAUUUCUAUAUAGUCUUGAUUUUUUUUAAAAAGUAAAGAUUAGAGAAGGUUUAUUUCUCCAUAUUUGGUAUUGUAGUACUCAAUUGGGUAAGACUUUAUGAAUUUGGAGAUACUAGAUAGUACAAGUAAGCUUUGCAAUUAGGUUUUAAAGAUCUAUUUCUAUAUAUUGUUAGUGAUUGCCAAUGAUGUUGCUAAUUAUGCUUUAAAAUUGUACUUUUAAUAUGUAGAAUUAUGUAUUAAUUUAAAAAAAUUAAGAUGCAAAAAAUCACAAUUGAUACAUAUCUUGUUAUAUAGAAAGAAAUGAUUUAUCUUAGUUUAAACCAAAAUCCUACUAUUUUUUUUUUUUUUAUCAAUUUUUUUUUCAAAAGUAAAUUAUCUCCUAUUAAAUUGAAUUCUAAUAUGAAAUUUUAUUCAAUACAAAAAAUUAUAAUUAAGAUGCCUCUUUCUUUAACAUGUUUGACAAAAAAGAUAUUCAAUUCAUAUUUCAAAUAUUUUACAUCAUCCUUGUACAUGGAUUUUAUAAUUUCAUGGAUUGUAGUGGCAUUAAGAUGGUGUUAGGAUCAAUAAUGGUCACAUGCACUAGAGAAUAUUUAUGUUAAUGUCAUUUUGGUCCUUUUCUACAGUGUCUAAUUGCUUCUCUCUAAUCCUUUGCCUUAACCCUCCACUAACUCUUGCCAAGGCUCCUUUGGCUUCUGAUCGCUUUGACACUGAGUUUUGAUAUUAGCAAUAGGGUGUGCAAGCAAAGGCAUGCACAUAAAACAUCUGAAAAAAUUGCCCAAAAUUCAUCCAUGAAUGAAGAAGAAAAAUCACCAUAGUACUAGCUAGAUACCUUUUUCUAACUUGGCCCUCCUUUGACAACCUUUGUUUAUAAUAGCCAUUAAAUACCUCCGAAAAGACUAAUAAUUUUGAACAAAUUAUGUCUUCUGUUGAUCUAUAUUAAUUAAUUAAUUAAUAACCAAUUGAGAAACCACUAUAUCAAAAACAUAAACUAAUUUUAAAACAAAAGUAAAAAAGAAAAAAUGGUUAAAGCCGAAAAUCAGUACGUGGGCGCCACCGGUACUGAUUAAUAAAUGUUUCCUUGAGUCCAUCUCUUCGGCUCUGAUUCGAGGGAAAUUUUAAAAAUUAUGAUUUUGAACGAUGGAACCCAGGAAUCUGCACUAAUAUUGUGCCACAGAAUUCACACUAUUUAUAUACCGCACAAAAACCCAUGAGCAUAGUAUAUCUAUCCUGGAUUAUGUAAUCUAGCUUUUGAUUGACACCAGAUGAUUGUUUCUGGGAUUUAACCGAGUUAAGGACGGCUAAUUAAAUAUCACCAGCGCGUGUUUAAAUUAAAUUUAAAUAAUAACUCAACUUCCGAACGUUUCUCGGCUUGCCAAGUCCAUGUUUGACAACGUGAAGGUUGUGUGCUGCUGCACACUGAAAUUGCUGGGUAAACGUUACACGAUGAGAAUUCAAAUGUGAUGGAAUCCACUUCCUUUCUAACAAUGACGAAGCGUUCGAUGAGCUUGGUUCUUUGAUGAGUAAAAUAAUAAUAAAAAUAUCAUCUAUUAUUCAGUCUGAACGUCUUUGAAGAACUUUUUAUUAUUUUUGAAAGUCAUUUUCGAACAGCCCAAAAGCGGCCGAGCCACAUCGCCCGAGGGUGCACCGCGGAACGGUUGAGGCCUCUAAGGUUGAAUGUGAGAAAAUGGGCCAAGAAUCUUCCGUUUAAAGACAGAUCUGCUUUGCUGCCAGCUUAAUUUUGUAGUUCAGUUCACGACUUGCCUUGGAAAGUAUAGAAGCGUCGACGCCAUUGCAACGACUUCAACAACGGCAAAUGUUGGGGCGAUAUUAAGGCCGGUGGAAGGUUUGUCGGAGAAGAUUCGAUGCCCAAAUUACAUUAGUGCACGACCCAAUGCUCACACCACCCCCUCUGCUAAAUACAGUGCAGCCUCUAAUCCACGGCAUUCCCGAUUCAGAGGCAUUAUUGAGCAGUCCAAUUCAAACCCAACGGCAAACUAUGGUGGAUGGAAGCAGCGGACUCCACUUAAAAACAACGUCGCACAGACUGCAUCCAAUUUAUCACCGACACUGCGCGAGCGCCUUGACUCCACGUUCGUUGCUUCUUGUGCAGACUCCGGAACAAAAACCCACAGCGAUCCACCACCCACCAACCCACCAACCCACCCAAGCUCCGAGUGAAAGAGCACACAAUAAUGCGGAGUGCCAGGCAACGAUCUCGAAAAAGUGUAGCGCCCAAGCUGCACUGUAAAUAGCCUCAUUCCCCACAGUUUGCGCCUCUCUACGUUUGGAUGACAAGUACUGUAUCCGGAUCAAUGAUUUUAUUACAGAACACGGACAAAUUAUUAAUAGUUUGGCCUAUGUUGUCUGAUUCGGGAUUGUAGGGAGUCACCAGCGGAAUCCAACACUACGGCACUCCGUGGCGCGACCUGCGGCGCUCGCUCCUCUAGAUUCCUGUCAGUAACAAUGCUUGGCGUCCGUGUGAACCAUCUCCCACACUCGUCCCUCAAACUUGUGGGAUAAAUACCAUCCUGGGGUCCUAAUUCACUGGGUGAUAUUUGCGUGUAUCCUUUCAUUGUAUAUUUUUAUUUCAAAUAUUGCAGUGGAGACUGCAAGUGCUGGACACCAUUGUGUGUGUGGUAACUAGACUCUCACUAAAGUGAGGUCCUAGUUUUGAAUUGUGGCGCUAGUGGAAAUGAAGCACCCUUUUCUUUGCUGUUGUUUACCAUGAUAAACAGAUUGGAUUUUCCCAAAUUAUUGAUUUUGAUGCACGUGUAUUGCAAAUGUUUUUCAUACUUAAAAGGAAUGAAUUUUAGGGUAGUUUCUUAGGUGUGAACUUUGAGCACCUCCUCUUGCUCUAGAGUAAAUAAAUGUAAAUAAAUAAAAACAUGUAAUUCUAUCACAUUCUUGCUCCAAAGACUUUGAAUUCAUUAGAUGAAAUCUGGUAUUCAGUAAAAGUAUAUAACAUGUUUUUUGUAAGUCAUGUUUGGAAAGUUUAGUAAGGGUUUAGAGGAAAGGGUUUUCACUUUCUGUUACAGUCAAUAGUUUAUUCAGAUGUUACAGAAGAUGAAAUGAAACACAACGAUCAAAUGGAAGCUUGUGGAGAUUAUUUAAUUGUACUUGUACUGAAAGACUGUGCUAAUAUCACAACAUAAUAAUGAACAAAGGGAUUAUUGAUUGCCCUUUUCAAGGAUAGUGAGAGCAUCUUAAAGAAAAUGAUUCCUCCAAAAAGUUCUUUGCAACUGUUGGAUCUUUAGUCACACUCAUUAAGUACAGACAUAAUCAGGAAACCAUAUUUAAUUCUGAUUUAUAGAUGAGAGUGAAUCAAAUGUUAGACAGGAGAUACCAAAUCUGUCAAUGGAAAAUUCUAAAAGUUGAUUAAUGAGAAUAAAUCAUGAUUCCAGUUUGAACAACAAAAAUCAAAUUAACAUUAUUUCUUAUUUAUAUAUUAACCAAAAAUUUAAUAAAAUUUUGGACUUAUUCACCAAGUGUAGACACAAAGUGGGCUCAAAUGUGUCUUUCAAACUAUUCUCUUACAAUUUUUCCAGUUUCAUUUUGAUUAAUCCUUUUUCAAAGAUGUUUGCUUUUUUAAAUCCCCAUUAAUCUUUCAAUUUGCUCAUUCAACACAUCUUAUUCUGUAGACUCUUCCGACUGUGCAAAAGUCUUCUUCUGCAGUCUUCAUUUGUGAAGCUUUUUGGGCUUAGUUUCAAUAUCCUCAUGUUAAAGUGAACCAAAUUUCAGAAAUUGUUUUUUGAUGCCUCAUAUGUGUGUGUGUAUAUAUAUAUAUAUAUAUAUAUGCACACAUAGACAUGUUCCCAAUAAAGACAAGGUUUAGCAUGAUUGUAAAACUUGGGAAAAAAAAAUUAAUUUUUUUUUUCAUUCUAUUUAGUUUGCAAGUCAUUCUUGGGACUGUGUCAAUGGCAGUUUUCUCCCACCCUAAAGCAUGAAAAUUUCUUGGUCUUGACCUGCAUAAAGUCCUAGUCUAUUUCACUUCAUUUAGUGGACAGUGUGGCUAUUCAUUAAUUCUUUCAAUUAUCUCAAACUUGAAAUGCCACUGAGCAUGUGUGAUAAGAAAGGCAGGAGCUAUGGACAAUAUAUCCAGAAAUUUUCAAGUUCUGGUGCCUUAUGUUUUCUUAGAGGACCUUGGGGAGAAAUUAUGGAUGGAAUGUGGAGUAAGGUAACAAACCAUUUCUCAGAACUUAAGCAUUUUAGCAUAUAUCUAAUAGAUGUAGAAAUAGAAAAAAAUUACCCUCAUGUGGGAAAAUAGAAAUCAAAAGGAUUCCAAGUGUUUUCACACAAUAUGGUUCAAAAAAAAUAUUGAUAUGAAUAUUAGGGCUUUAGAUUCUCAUCAACCCAUUGGGAACAUGUAUGCCUACCUAAUUUUGAUGAGUGGUAGGUUACAAAACCAAGAAUCCAAUUUUAAUAAAACAAUGAUGUGUGGCACUUAGUAAUGAUAUCAUGAGAAGUGUGGCAUCUAAUUAUACUAUUAGUUUAUCCCAACCAAUUAACAACUACCAUCUAUUAAUAGUUAAUAUGUAUCUAUUCUAAGUACAAUGAAUUUUAUUUAUUGCUCAUAGCUUAACAUUAUUUUAACCACCCUGUGACCUAUUUUUGAUCCAUAAAAUGUUAGAUCUAGUGGUCAAACUUUUGGAAUCAAGUAGGCCUAUAUGUUGGAAAUGGAGGAGGUGGUCAAUAAUGGAUUGGCUACCUUAAUGCCAUAUGAGUCUAUCUAAAAAUAAACUCCAAGAUUUGUAAGUGAUCACAAAAUAAGUGUAGUUUUUAAUUAAGUUAAAAUCUUCAAAUGUGCAUUUUUAAAAUAAUAUUAUUUCUAUGAGAAGAAAGAAAAAUUUCUAAAAGUUACUUUCAUGUUUUUUUCUUAAAAAUAUGCAAAUUUAAGGUUGUGUUAUAUGAUAAUGAUACUUUACAAUGCAAAGCCUAUAUUCUUUCUCCUCUAACAAUUGUUUUUUUUUAUCCAAUGUAAUGGUUGAUUUGGCACUUUCAAAUAGUUACAAAAGAUUUGAAAUUUAUACUCAAAAGUCUUGUAAUAAUAAUGUAUAAUGUUAUAGUAUUCUUCUAAUCACAAAAUAAGAUGAAAUUAAUUGCACAUAAAUCUAUUACAUAAUUACUAGUCUAAACAAAUUUUUUAUUUUUUAUUAUAACUUAUUUUGAUAAGAAUUGCAUUACUUUUGAUUAUGUACAAAUAGAAAAUGCAUUAUCUUUAAAGGAUCAAAUUGUAUUAAAAUAAAUAUGUUUUAUAUUACAAAUCUUUAAUUUAAUAAAAUUAUCUCCUUUGCUUUGUAAGUAAAAAAAAACUUCUUCUCAUUAGUAUAAAUAGUAAUUAUAUUUAUUUUAUAACAUAAUUAUUAUAUAAAAAAACUAUGAUUAUGUAAUAAAAAAUCUAUGAUUUCAUAAUGUAAAAUCAUCAAAGAAAUUCAUGUAACAAACAGGGAGUUGCUAAAGCAACAUCCCUAUGUUAGAGCAAGACCUCCUUGAGUUCUCUUAUCUCUUGUCCCCUACUUCCAAUCCUUACCCCCCCCCCCCUUUCCAUUCACUAUGAUGAAGAACAAAGGACACAUGGUAGAAGCAUGGACAAUAGGGAAGGAGGCAUCUGGACAGGAAUGGGGGAUAGGGCUGGAAACAACAGAUGAAAACAAGGAGAGGGGAUGGAGAAUAGACUUAAUUGAUCAUGAGAAUCCAAGGUGUGCAGUUAACAUAAUGGGAGUGUUUCUUUACCAACUCCCUAACAAAUAUUAUCCUGAUUGAUUUCUCAUUUGUCAAUACUAAAAUACAACAUACAAUGACACUUGAAGCUUCACGUUCCACUUGGCCAGAUAAUACUAGAACUAACUUAUAAAUGAAUAAACAGAAAGUGAAAAUUCAUUAAAAAGAUUAUGUGACGAACUAGUUAAUGCAAUAAACUGAAGGAGUCCAGACGCUGAUAUGGCUCAAACAGAAAUGAUACUCACCACUGAAAAAGUGCAUGAUCCUACAAAAUAAUAUCCGAAAAAGACUCCUACACUCAAAAGCGAUAGAUGGAAAUGAAGGACUUCUGCUCCGUAAACAGAAGCGAUUCACAGAGGAAAAAAACAACCCAAGAAUCAAAAUGGUAUUCUUUAAAUCAGAUCCAAUAACCAAAAAUUUAUUGAAGAUAGAGAAGUCAUCAAAAGAAUUCAAGUUUACGCCUAGAUUAAAAACUUCAAUGAUAUUUUGAUAAAUACAGCUACCUCCCCUUUAAUAGUGGCAGUGCACUACAUGCAGUGCGAUCCUAAAGAUAGAGCACAGAGGAUUCCAUCCAUAUACACUUCUCACAGUGGCUUUAUUAAAGGAUAUGUUACAAGGUUAUCAUAACUGAGUUCUUAUCUACUUCACCAGUCGCGUGCCAGAUGCAAUACACCUCACACCCGAAUCUUGGAAAAUUGGAUUAGCCUCUCGACGCUCUCGCUUUGGAAUCGUCUAAGAGUAGUGCGGAACGAAUGUGCCUACGUACCCGAACCCCAUUAUCAGGAACGCGCACGACUGCAAAAACAAGUACACGUAAAAGUGGUUCUUCCCCUGGAAAUAGAAGUCGUACACAGCGCAGAACAUCAGGAACCCUCCCGUCCACAACUCCAGUAUGUGCAACCUGCCACACCAACAUCCAACACCAUCAGCACCUCCGCACACACAUCAGCAACCCCUCUGCUCCAUCUCCCAAUACCAGCUCACACUCCACUCUCCUCAUCCCCCCGACCCGCACCCAUGCACCCACAAUCGUUUCGCCUCACCUCUCCGACAUCUUCCAUCCCCUGGCCAGCAUGUUGCUCGCCAUCCUCUGCAGCGUGUACUUCUUCCCGUACUUGGCGGACCUGUACUUCAUCAGGUUGCCCAGCUUCUCCGUCACCACCCACUCGUUCACGUUCCCGAUGUCGAACAGCCCGAUUAUCGUCGCCUUCGUCCGGUGCAGGGACAUCACGUUCUCGAACAAUAUCCAGAACACCAACAAGUGCAGAGACCUGCACCACACCCACACAACCACCUCGUCAGCCACUCGCCGCAUCACCACCACCACUAUCAACCCCCUCACUGACCCCCUGCUGCUGCUACCAUCCAUCAACCCCCGUCACCAGUCCACGGCGUCGUCCCACAUACUUGGGAGUGGUGAUCGCGUUCAGCAGCGUGAUGAUCGACGGAACGUACACCGCUCCCCAGAACGGCAGGUCCACCUCCGGAACCAACACCGACGCCGGAAUCACUACGCAGUAGAAUGUAAACGUCACAAUGUGGGCCACGAUCUUCCGCACGAAGAAGAACGCGUAGAUCAUGUGCAGCCUCUUCCACAGCCGCAGGUUCUGGUUCUUCAGGAUCGUGAACAGCACCUUCCGGAACAGGUUCGCCGGCCCGCACGACCACCUGUGCUGCUGGAACCGGAACGCCUUGAACGUGCUCGGCAGCUCGUUCUUCACCUCCAGGUCGUGAAUGUACACAAACUUCCACCCGCACAGACUGGCGCGCACCGCCAGGUCCAUGUCCUCCACCGUUGUGCGAUCGUUCCACCCUCCUGCUUCCUCCAUGGCGCGGAUUCUCCACACACCCGCGGUGCCGUUGAACCCGA